GCAGUCGAACGAUGAUGUCCCGCUUGCGGGACGGAUUAGUGGCGAACGGGUGAGUAAUACGUGAUUAACCUGCCCUCGACUCUGGGAUAAGCCUGGGAAACCGGGUCUAAUACUGGAUACUACUGCUCACCGCAUGGUGGGUGGUGGAAAGGGUUUACUGGUUUUGGAUGGGCUCACGGCCUAUCAGCUUGUUGGUGGGGUAAUGGCUCACCAAGGCGACGACGGGUAGCCGGCCUGAGAGGGUGACCGGCCACACUGGGACUGAGACACGGCCCAGACUCCUACGGGAGGCAGCAGUGGGGAAUAUUGCACAAUGGGCGGAAGCCUGAUGCAGCGACGCCGCGUGAGGGAUGACGGCCUUCGGGUUGUAAACCUCUUUCAGUAGGGAAGAAGCGAAAGUGACGGUACCUGCAGAAGAAGCGCCGGCUAACUACGUGCCAGCAGCCGCGGUAAUACGUAGGGCGCAAGCGUUGUCCGGAAUUAUUGGGCGUAAAGAGCUCGUAGGCGGUCUGUCGCGUCUGCUGUGAAAGCCCGGGGCUCAACCCCGGGUCUGCAGUGGGUACGGGCAGACUAGAGUGCAGU
RNAcentral lists this ribosomal RNA (582 nucleotides) under bacterium 13-L049640-122-012-E02. RNAcentral's name for it is "bacterial SSU rRNA". It matches the Rfam family "Bacterial small subunit ribosomal RNA", at positions 57 to 652 of the family's 1533-position model. The record is from RNAcentral.